AGAGUUUGAUCAUGGCUCAGAUUGAACGCUGGCGGCAUGCCUAACACAUGCAAGUCGAACGGCAGCAUGAGGUGUAGCAAUACACCUUGAUGGCGAGUGGCGGACGGGUGAGGAACACAUCGGAAUCUGCCCAGUCGUGGGGGACAACGCAGGGAAACUUGCGCUAAUACCGCAUACGACCUUCGGGUGAAAGCAGGGGAUCUUCGGACCUUGCGCGACUGGAUGAGCCGAUGUCGGAUUAGCUUGUUGGCGGGGUAACGGCCCACCAAGGCGACGAUCCGUAGCUGGUCUGAGAGGAUGAUCAGCCACAUUGGGACUGAGACACGGCCCAAACUCCUACGGGAGGCAGCAGUGGGGAAUAUUGGACAAUGGGGGCAACCCUGAUCCAGCAAUGCCGCGUGUGUGAAGAAGGCCUUCGGGUUGUAAAGCACUUUUAUCGGGAACGGAACAUUGUCGGCCAAUACCCGGCAAGACUGACGGUACCCGAGGAAUAAGCACCGGCUAACUCCGUGCCAGCAGCCGCGGUAAUC
Molecule: ribosomal RNA, 530 nt
Filed under: uncultured bacterium
Lineage: Bacteria
Description: bacterial SSU rRNA
Rfam family: Bacterial small subunit ribosomal RNA
Source: RNAcentral